GUACCAUAACCGACACAGGUGGGUAGGUAGAGUAUACUAAGGGGCGCGAGAUAACUCUCUCUAAGGAACUCGGCAAAAUGACUCCGUAACUUCGGGAGAAGGAGUGCCUUAUUUCUAAGGUUGCAAUAACAAGAUCCAAGCAACUGUUUAUCAAAAACACAGGUCUCCGCUAAGUCGUAAGACGAUGUAUGGGGGCUGACGCCUGCCCAGUGCCAGAAGGUUAAAGAAGUUGGUUAGCAUUUUGCGAAGCUGAUAACUGAAGCCCUGGUAACGGCGGCCGUAACGAUAACGGUCCUAAGGUAGCGAAAUUCCUUGUCGGGUAAGUUCCGACCCGCACGAAAGGCGUAAUGAUUUGGAUACUGUCUCGGAGAGGGACUCGGUGAAAUAGACUUGUCUGUGAAGAUGCGGACUACCUGCACCUGGACAGAAAGACCCUAUGAAGCUUUACUGUAACUUGAAAUUGAAAUUGGACUUUAUUUGCGCAGUAUAGGUGGGAGGCGUUGAGAAUAUUCUUGCGGGAGUAUUGGAGCCAUCAGUGAGAUACCACUCUUGUAAUGUUAGAUUUCUAACUUUGUAUCAUUAUCUGGUCAAAGAACAGUUUCAGGCGGGCAGUUUGACUGAGGCGGUCGCCUCCCAAAUGGUAACGGAGGCGCACAAAGGUUUCCUCUGAACGGGUAGAAAUCGUAUCUAGAGUGUAAAGGCAUAAGGAAGCUUGACUGUGAGACCUACAAGUCGAGCAGGGACGAAAGUCGGUCUUAGUGAUCUGACGGUGCUGAGUGGAAAGGCCGUCACUCAACGGAUAAAAGUUACUCUAGGAUAACAGGCUGAUCUCCCCCAAGAGUUCACAUCGACGGGGAGGUUUGGCACCUCGAUGUCGGCUCAUCGCAUCCUGGGGCGGUAGUACGUCCCAAGGGUUGGGCUGUUCGCCCAUGGAAGCGGUACGCGAGCUGGGUUCAGAACGUCGUGAGACAGUUCGGUCCAUAUCCGGUGUAGGCGUUAGAAUAUUGAGAGGAGCCUUCUUUAGUACGAGAGGACCGAGAAGGACAUACCUCUGGUGUACCAGUUAUCGUGCCAACGGUAAACGCUGGGUAGCUAUGUAUGGAGAGGAUAACCGCUGAAAGCAUCUAAGUGGGAAGCCCACCUCAAGAUAAGUAUUCUCAUCACGUAAGUGAAUAAGGUCACGGUAAGACUAACCGUUUGAUAGGCAUUAAGUGUAAAUCUAGUAAUAGGUGAGCUGAGAUGUACUAACAGACCGAAGACUUG
RNAcentral lists this ribosomal RNA (1263 nucleotides) under metagenome. Its description in RNAcentral is "bacterial LSU rRNA". It matches the Rfam family "Bacterial large subunit ribosomal RNA", at positions 1644 to 2925 of the family's 2925-position model. The record is from RNAcentral.